RNAcentral lists this long non-coding RNA (3320 nucleotides) under Homo sapiens (human). RNAcentral describes it as "HSALNT0332238". The record is from RNAcentral. Lineage: Eukaryota; Metazoa; Chordata; Mammalia; Primates; Hominidae.
AGUAGACAGCUUUGCAGGCUGUUCUUGUGUUUGCAGUCCCUGUGUAUAGCCUUCUCAAAAUACAAACGGCAUAUUUUGAGGUUGAAGACCUGAAAACUGUGACCCCUGUUGCCUAGCAACUGAGAAGCUCAGCCUCAACUCCGGGUGGGGGAGAUGAUGGAGAAAGGUACUGCAUUUUGAUAAAUUGAAGGUUUGUGGAACGCUGCAUUGAGCAAGUCUAUUGGUACCAUUUUCCAACAGCAUGUGCUCACUUCAUGUCUCUGUGCCACAUUUGGUUUUUGCAAUCUCCAGGAACGCCAGGCCACAUGAUUGAAACAGUUGUUCAAUUUUUCUUGCUGAAGAUGGUGAACUGGGUUAAGUUUAGAAACAACCAUAGCUGGAAAAAGUAUGACUUUGUUAGCUGCUUACUUCCUUUUCAGAGAAAAAAUACUUUUCUAGUUUCUUUCUUUAGUUACAAAAAUAAUAUGUGCUAAUUAUAACAAGCCAAUCAAUGGAGAGGCCUGCGGAUAUGAAGUUCAUAGUCAUUCAUUCACUCUUCUGCAGAGUGGCUCCCCAAGGCAGCCAACAUUGACAAGCAGGCUUGUGUGUUUCCACACUGUCUCUUGAGCGAGGCUUAUUUAGUCUACACUUGCCUCCUUUAAAGCUGUUCACAAGCAGAUGAGGAUCAAUCUCGGAUUCUAGAAGGAAGAACCCAGCCCCUACUGUUAGAAGGAGCAGUGAAGGCGGCAGGUCAAAGCACAGCCUGGAGCCGACUGUCUGUGUCCAAAUCCCACUUCACCACUUGCUGCAUAACUGGAGCAGAUGAUUCAGCUUUUCUCUGCCUUAACUGACUCAUGUAAAUGGGGAUAUUAAAAUAUCACAUAUGGAUUAUUAUAUUGACUAGGAAGUUAAUGCAAUACAGCAUGCAUAGCAGUUAGUAAGCACUCAAUAAAUGGUAGAUAUUAUUAUUUUCUCUCUUGUGGGAGCAACAAAAGUGAAAAGAAUGACCCUUUGGUAACUGGGGAUCUGAGUAUACACAGACUGUACCAAUCAUAACCACAAUCACCAAAAAAACUACAUUUGUGGAGGCUUAGUGUUAACACAGUCCCAAAACACUUCAUCUAUUGAUUCCCUUAUAUGGCUAGAAUUUAACAUUAAUUCUUUUUUCAUUUUUCAGGAAUAAUAAAGAACAUCAAUAAAAUUAUAGGCAUAAUUUUUAAACAAUUUUAUUGAAGAAUAAUUAUAUGUAAUAAAAUUCACUGGCCGGGUGCAGUGGCUCAUGCCUGUAAUCUCACCACUUUGGGAGGCCAAGGCGGGGGGAUUACUUGAGGCCAAAGUUUAAGACCAGCUUGGGCAAAAAAGCAAAAGCCUGUCUUUACUCUCUCUCUCUCUCUCUCUCUCCAUAUAUAUAUAUAUAUAUAUAUAUAUAUAUAUAUAUAUAUAUAUAUUUUUUUUUUUUUUUUUUUUUUUUUUUUUUAAAUAGCCAGGUGUAGUGGUGUGCGCCUCAAGUCCCAGCUACUUUCAAGGGGCUGAGGUAAGAGGAUUGCUUGAGCCCAGUAGUUGCAGGCUGCAAUGAGCUAUGAUCCCACCACUGUACUCCAGCCUGGGUGACAGAGUGAGACCUUGUCUCUAAAAAUAAAUAAAUAAGUAAAUACAAAUUUUUAAAAAUAAAAAUUCAUCCAUUUUAAGAAUACAAUUAAAUAAGUUUUAGUAAAUUUACCAAGCUGUGCAACCAUCACCACAACCCAGUUUCAGAACAUUUACAUCACCCUUGGAAGCUCCCUCAUGCCUGUUUACAGUUAACCCCAGUUCCUAUCCCCAGCUCUGGGCACCAUUAAUCUACUACUCUCUGUCUCUAUGACUUUGCUUUUUCUGGACACUUCAUAUAAAUGGAUUAUGCAGUAUGUGGCCUUUUGUAUCUGACUUAUUUCGUUAACAUAAUGUUUUAAAGAUCCAUCUACACUGAAGUACGUAUCAGUAUGUGUUCCUUUGUACUGAGGAACUGUAUUCCACUGUAUGGAUAUACCACAGUUUGUUCAUCCAUUCGACAAUGGAUGGACAGUUGGUUGUGUCCACUUUUUAGCUAUUAUGAAUAAUGUCACUAUGAACAUUUGUGUACAAGUUUUUGGGUGGACUUACGUUUUUAUUUCUCUUGGGUAGAUACAUAGAAGUGAAUAUAGUACAUUUAUAUUUAACUUUUUGAAACUAUUAAACUGUUUUCUACAGUGAUCGCACCAUUUUAUAUUCCCACCAGCAAUGUGUGAAGGUUCUACAGGUCUAAACUUAAAGGUCAAAAUAGAAAGAAGAUCUAAAAAUACAUGAAUUCAAGUGCUGAAUGUCCGUUCUCUGACACUGGUUAUCUUCUAAACUCCCCUUUAAUGAAAGGACAGGGAGAAUCCUUCCCCUGCCUUCCCCAGAUUCUCAUUUCCCAUAUUUUGCUGUUUGGCUAAGUGGGGGCUCCCUCACCUCAUUUAGUCCUGCUAAUUCAGGGAAAGCAACCCUGUGCUCCUCCACUCCUAGCAACCCUAAGAGGCUAUCUAAAGUGGAAAGAACAUUUUACAAAUGCAAAUUCAGUCCUUGGGUAUGGCAAGAGAAGAGUUAAUGCAGUUUGUAAUAAUUAUUGACUACAAGAACUGCAAAUGAUUGCAUAAAAUUUCUAAAAUAUGCCUGCAAGGUUCUCUUAUUGAUGUGUUGCCCCCAGGGGUACACAUAUGGGUUUAAGUGUCUAAACUGUUUUAUUAAUUAAAUUGCUAUGAUUUACCUCUCCCAUGUUAGCAUUUACAGUUUAUGAAACAGCCCUGUAAUUAGAAAAUGAUGUACUAGUGUUGCUUGUUUACUUUGUGGGUGAAAUAUUAUACACACACAGAUGUGUAUGUGUAUAUAUAUACACUCACUUAUAUAUGUUUAUAGACACACACAUGUGCACGCGCGCACACACACACACAAAGUGUUUUUUCUUGGGUCAACCCUCAUAGGCUACUUUAUUUCUAGUCCAAUUAAUAGGCAACCUCCAGUGGUGCAUUAAAUUGGUUUUUAGCGGGAGGGGGAGGAUAACUGAGAAGUUCAUUGUUCCUGCUGAGGUGUGUCAUGGCAUCCAUGUAUGUUUGUUUAUUUUCCCUCCAUAGACAGACAAUUGAAAUCACAAGAAUUUAUUGUAAAAAAAAAAAUCUGUUGAGAACAGCCCUGAGGAUACUUCAGCAAAUCCUAAAACUGUACCUACUUUAAUUAUACAGCAUCUUAUUAUCUUCUGCGUCCAUUCUGAAGGUAUAUGUAGGAAUAUAUAAUAUAAAUUACCUGUGCUACAUAGACAAUGCCUAAAUAAAGUUGUUGUUGAAGUGCUU